Molecule: long non-coding RNA, 1494 nt
Filed under: Amborella trichopoda
Lineage: Eukaryota; Viridiplantae; Streptophyta; Magnoliopsida; Amborellales; Amborellaceae
Description: long non-coding RNA (ATRI_LNC002798)
Source: RNAcentral
UUUGUGAUUGUUCUUUAGAAUGAAAAGAGUGUAUAUUUCAAAUUUUGAUUCAAACAAUCGUUGCAUUAAACUAUGAUACAAUCAUUGCAUGAAAUCACUACCCAUACAUAUGGAUGUAGUUUUUAUAAGGUUGCAACCUUAAACAAUCCAAUCAAGGAAAACUUCCAAAUCUCAUCAUAAUAUGUAAUUUUGGUGUUAAACAUUAUUAAGAUUAUCUGGAAAUCUAUUUUCAUACAUAAUUAUAGAAUAUUAAAUUUAAAAAAUGGUUAAAAUCAAGUAGAUCUAUAAACUUAUGAAAAUCUUGAAAACGGACGGUUUAGAUAAUGUGUUGCAAGAUGCACUAUUUUUGGGACUCAAAAUCUUUUUUUAUAUAUAUUCAUACAUCUCGAUGUUGUGAUGAUCAAUUAGAUAGGUUUUCAAUAUUAAAACAACCUUAUUCUAUAUUUUAAGGUUGCAACCUUUUAUAUAUAUAUAUAUGGCGAUUAAUAGGUUGGGAUUGUAUACAAUGAGGCCAUUUUAUCUCGUGUACAAAGAGGACCCAAUUACUUAUAACUACAUGAUGUUAAAUUUGACUGCUUGGGCAAGUAACAAAGUUCAAAAAGAUUUCUUUUAAGCUUUGAACUUGGUUAAUAUAAUUGAUUCAACCACCCAAGUUUACAUCCAAUGAUUAAGAUUAAUUAUGACCACCUUGUACUAAAGGUGAAUGGUCUCAUUGUAUAUUUUUCUUUAUUGGUUGGCAACAUUUUAUUAAUUUAUUUAAAAGACAAGGGAGAGAGAGACUUUUACAUGCAAUAGUAUAACGAUGAGGAAGGCCAAGACUUGUAUACUCAUGAAAAAAACCAUAAUUCUUUUGAUGCUGGAAAACUCAUUUGGACCUCAAGAUGCAAAGAUAUGAAAUAAAAAGGAUUUUAAAUUUUAAAAAUAGUGGAAAAAUUAUUUGGACUAUCCAUUUUUUAAGAUUUUCAUGUAUUUAUGAGUUUGUCGACCUGUACUAUUUUCUGGAGCUUUAAUUUUGUAAUUAGGGGUUGAAAUAGCUUUUUAGACUAUUGUAGGGGUGUUUUGCACUAAAAUGGCAUCUUUGUGUAAGGUUUGAAGGUGUGCCUUUGAAUAUUUAAGGUUGACACUUUUAUAUAAAACCACAACUUUUUGUAGAAUACAUGGACCUCAUGGAAGUAUCUUGGAAAAUUUACCCAUUUCUGAAAAGACAUGUAAUUUUUUAAAGUUAAUUGUUGGAUAAAAAAGGAAUUGCCUCUAUAAUUGGCCUGUGAGGAUGACAGGGUAGCACAUCAUGACAUCUAGAGUUCUAUUUCUAUGGUGGUACUAAGGGGAAAAAAGAAAAUGAAAAAAAAGAAAAGAAAAAAAUAAAGGUCUAAUUCCAUUCCUAUAGAGAUCCCAAAAAAGGGAAAAAAAAUUGGCUGGUCUUGUGGAACCAAAUAGUACAUUUGGUUAUUUGGGAAGGAUUUUCUAAAAAUUGUUUUCAAAUCUAAAAACGGC